RNAcentral lists this non-coding RNA (174 nucleotides) under Synergistaceae bacterium. Its description in RNAcentral is "6S RNA". It matches the Rfam family "6S / SsrS RNA". Rfam says of the family: E. coli 6S RNA was the first non coding RNA to be sequenced, but its function was unknown until recently. It consists of 184 nucleotides that fold into an extended hairpin structure with a large single-stranded internal bulge. The record is from RNAcentral. Lineage: Bacteria; Thermotogati; Synergistota; Synergistia; Synergistales; Synergistaceae.
AAAUUCCUGCGGUGUGCGUGAAACGGGUAAUGUCUUGAGCCAACGUCCUUAUCCCGCGGGGGAUUGCUCCGUACCGGUGGAUGCGGCUUUUUGCCGCUCAAACCAAGGCUCGGGAAUCCCCCAUCCUUUUAGGAGCGGGUCAAGACACUCCGUUCACGGCAUUGCGGGUUUUAU